Bacillus sp. FJAT-21945 is the source of this 111-nucleotide non-coding RNA. NCBI's taxonomy places the organism in Bacteria, Bacillati, Bacillota, Bacilli, Caryophanales, Bacillaceae. The record is from Rfam.
UAGUAAUGUAUUCUUACCAUUAUAAAGGAGGAACUCGGUCAUCCUGUGGGUUUUAUGAACCUUAGAUGCUUUGUUGUCGAAAGGGUGAUGUGAGGGAGGGUUAGAUGCCCA